UACGUAGGGAGCAAGCGUUGUCCGGAAUUACUGGGUGUAAAGGGAGCGUAGGCGGGAAUGCAAGUUGGAAGUGAAAGGUAUGGGCUCAACCCAUGAACUGCUUUCAAAACUGUAUUUCUUGAGUGAAGUAGAGGCAGGCGGAAUUCCUAGUGUAGCGGUGAAAUGCGUAGAUAUUAGGAGGAACACCAGUGGCGAAGGCGGCCUGCUGGGCUUUAACUGACGCUGAGGCUCGAAAGCGUGGGUAGCAAACAGG
Molecule: ribosomal RNA, 253 nt
Filed under: uncultured bacterium
Lineage: Bacteria
Description: partial 16S ribosomal RNA
Rfam family: Bacterial small subunit ribosomal RNA
Source: RNAcentral